UUUCCGUAGGUGAACCUGCGGAAGGAUCAUUAAUGAAUUCACUAUGGAGUUGUUGCUGGCCUCUAGGGGCAUGUGCACGCUUCACUAGUCUUUCAACCACCUGUGAACUUUUGAUAGAUCUGUGAAGUCGUCUUUCAAGUCGUCAGACUUGGUUUGCUGGGAUUUAAACGUCUCGGUGUGACAACGCAGUCUAUUUACUUAACACACCCCAAAUGUAUGUCUACGAAUGUCAUUUAAUGGGCCUUGUGCCUAUAAACCAUAAUACAACUUUCAACAACGGAUCUCUUGGCUCUCGCAUCGAUGAAGAACGCAGCGAAAUGCGAUAAGUAAUGUGAAUUGCAGAAUUCAGUGAAUCAUCGAAUCUUUGAACGCACCUUGCGCCCCUUGGUAUUCCGAGGGGCAUGCCUGUUUGAGUGUCAUUAAAUUCUCAAACUCACUUUGGUUUUUUUCCAAUUGUGAUGUUUGGAUUGUUGGGGGCUGCUGGCCUUGACAGGUCGGCUCCUCUUAAAUGCAUUAGCAGGACUUCUCAUUGCCUCUGCGCAUGAUGUGAUAAUUAUCACUCAUCAAUAGCACGCAUGAAUAGAGUCCAGCUCUCUAAUCGUCCGCAAGGACAAUUUGACAAUUUGACCUCAAAUCAGGUAGGACUACCCGCUGAACUUAA
Molecule: ribosomal RNA, 661 nt
Filed under: Pleurotus ostreatus (oyster mushroom)
Lineage: Eukaryota; Fungi; Basidiomycota; Agaricomycetes; Agaricales; Pleurotaceae
Also listed under: 2 other names
Description: eukaryotic LSU rRNA
Rfam family: 5.8S ribosomal RNA (bases 266-419)
Source: RNAcentral